UACGGGGGGGGCAAGCGUUGUUCGGAAUUACUGGGCGUAAAGGGCGCGUAGGCGGCCUGCUAAGUCGGAUGUGAAAGCCCAAGGCUCAACCUUGGAAGUGCAUUCGAAACUGGCGAGCUUGAAUAUGGACGAGGGUCGCGGAAUUCCCGGUGUAGAGGUGAAAUUCGUAGAUAUCGGGAGGAACACCGGUGGCGAAGGCGGUUCUCUGGGCAUGAUCUGACGCUGAGGAGCGAAAGUGUGGGGAGCGAACAGG
RNAcentral lists this ribosomal RNA (253 nucleotides) under uncultured bacterium. RNAcentral's name for it is "partial 16S ribosomal RNA". It matches the Rfam family "Bacterial small subunit ribosomal RNA", at positions 524 to 776 of the family's 1533-position model. The record is from RNAcentral.